RNAcentral lists this ribosomal RNA (520 nucleotides) under uncultured Glomus. RNAcentral's name for it is "SSU rRNA". It matches the Rfam family "Eukaryotic small subunit ribosomal RNA", at positions 569 to 1090 of the family's 1831-position model. The record is from RNAcentral. Lineage: Eukaryota; Fungi; Glomeromycota; Glomeromycetes; Glomerales; Glomeraceae.
AGCAGCCGCGGUAAUUCCAGCUCCAAUAGCGUAUAUUAAAGUUGUCGCAGUUAAAAAGCUCGUAGUUGAAUUUCGGGGUCAGUAGGUUGGUCAUGCCUUUGGUAUGUACUGGUCUCACUGAUUCCUCCCUCUUGAAGAACUGUAAUGUCAUUAAUUUGGUGUUGCGGGGAGUCAGGACUGUUACUUUGAAAAAUUAGAGUGUUUAAAGCAGGCUUAUGCUUGAAUACAUUAGCAUGGAAUAAUGAAAUAGGACGUUUGAUCCUAUUUUGUUGGUUUCUAGGAUUGACGUAAUGAUUAAUAGGGAUAGUUGGGGGCAUUAGUAUUCAAUUGUCAGAGGUGAAAUUCUUGGAUUUAUUGAAGACUAACUACUGCGAAAGCAUUUGCCAAGGAUGUUUUCAUUAAUCAAGAACGAAAGUUAGGGGAUCGAAGACGAUCAGAUACCGUCGUAGUCUUAACCAUAAACUAUGCCGACUAGGGAUCGGAUGAUGUUAAUUUUUUCAAUGACUCAUUCGGCGCCUUA